RNAcentral lists this ribosomal RNA (384 nucleotides) under uncultured Desulfuromonas sp. Its description in RNAcentral is "bacterial SSU rRNA". It matches the Rfam family "Bacterial small subunit ribosomal RNA", at positions 998 to 1382 of the family's 1533-position model. The record is from RNAcentral. Lineage: Bacteria; Pseudomonadati; Thermodesulfobacteriota; Desulfuromonadia; Desulfuromonadales; Desulfuromonadaceae.
UUAUGGAAACAUAGGGGUCAGUUCGGCUGGAUCGGUGACAGGUGCUGCAUGGCUGUCGUCAGCUCGUGUCGUGAGAUGUUGGGUUAAGUCCCGCAACGAGCGCAACCCUUGUCCUUAGUUGCCAGCAUUCAGUUGGGCACUCUAAGGAGACUGCCGGUGUCAAACCGGAGGAAGGUGGGGAUGACGUCAAGUCCUCAUGGCCCUUAUGUCCAGGGCUACACACGUGCUACAAUGGCCGGUACAAAGGGGCGCAAGACCGCGAGGUGGAGCAAAUCCCAAAAAACCGGUCUCAGUUCGGAUUGGAGUCUGCAACUCGACUCCAUGAAGUUGGAAUCGCUAGUAAUCGCGUAUCAGCAUGACGCGGUGAAUACGUUCCCGGGCCUU